Molecule: ribosomal RNA, 253 nt
Filed under: uncultured bacterium
Lineage: Bacteria
Description: partial 16S ribosomal RNA
Rfam family: Bacterial small subunit ribosomal RNA
Source: RNAcentral
UACGUAGGGUGCGAGCGUUGUCCGGAAUUAUUGGGCGUAAAGGGCUCGUAGGCGGUUUGUCGCGUCGGGAGUGAAAACCCAGGGCUUAACUCUGGGCUGGCUUUCGAUACGGGCAGACUAGAGGUAUGCAGGGGAGAACGGAAUUCCUGGUGUAGCGGCGAAAUGCGCAGAUAUCAGGAGGAACACCGGUGGCGAAGGCGGUUCUCUGGGCAUUACCUGACGCUGAGGCUCGAAGGCGUGGGGAGCAAACAGG